GUGGGGGUUGAUCAGGAAUUCUGAGAUUUGUAAGCGCUGCUUUCUUUAACGGAAAUUGAGCUCUAUUUUGAGGGAAAUUAGUUUUGCAGACUUCGUUUAAAAAAAAAAACUAAAACUUUUGUUCACCAGCUGCUCAGCUUUUCAGUCUGGGUCUGAGCUGAAACCUGCUGCAAGUCUGACGGUACCAAAUUACAUAUAUAUAUCUGUCAAAAUGAUGUAGGACCUAAAGUCUCUCUGUAAGUUGAUCCUUUUGACCCCAUGAUUAGGAGCUUCACAAUGUGGUACCACACCUGGAAACCUCCAGAACAAGAUCUCAAGGAAACACAGGAAAUUCCUGAAACAGCAAAACCCCCUACGUGAAGACGUCUGUUAUUCCUUUGUGUAUCAGGAGCAUCACUGUUAAUUAACUGUUGAUACACUUAAAACAGCUUGGUUGGCAAUGUCCUUUUUGAAUAAAGAAGAGCCAGGUGUGUUUUACAGGAUGAACUAGACAAUGCUGCCACAAGUUUACCUCUACGUCUUAUUGCCUUGGAAAAAUUUCCUGCAUAUCGUGGCACAAGAUGGUUGGCUCUCCAGGCAGCAGUUGGCGUUGUGAAUCAGUCAUCUCAGCAUGUGUCUCCAAGAUCCCACAGCAGGGGGAAAAAGAGGUGGAGGGUCACAUGCCUGGUGUUACAUACUUUGAGGCAGAGGUGGUAGGUGCCAUUUCUGCUCACAGCUCAUGGACCAGAACAAAGCCAUGCAUACCUGAGAGAGGACCAGAAAAUAUUCUGAAGCAGAGGGCUAUUUGGUCCAUGUUCUGACUAAAAGGAAGCCACACUCUGUCGAAAACAAGCUUUAGACAAGAUCUUCCUCUGUCAGGGGUGAGGUGGUGCAAUCAUAGCUCACUGCAGCGUCAAACUCCUGAGCUCAAGUGAUCCUCCUGCCUCAGCCUCCCUGGUAGCUGGGCCUACAGGUGUGUAUCACCACAUUCAGCUAAUUUUUAAAAAUGUUUUAUAGAGAUGGGUCUUACCAUGUUGCUCAGGUUGGUCUCAAACUCCUGGCCUCAAG
This 1047-nucleotide long non-coding RNA is filed under the name Pan troglodytes (chimpanzee). Its description in RNAcentral is "long non-coding RNA NONPTRT015489". The record is from RNAcentral. Lineage: Eukaryota; Metazoa; Chordata; Mammalia; Primates; Hominidae.